ACUUCUCAACCCCGCCAAAGGCUUUAUUGACUUUGGUUGUUCUGGGCUUGGAUCAUGGUCUUUUGCUGUGUUACAACAGCUGGACUGAAAUACAACAAGUUGAAUGAAUCAAUUGCAGCUUGACCUGAUGUUGUAACCAUACUCAUUGGGGAUGCAAAUGAAUCAACGAACUUUAAUAGAAACCCAAUUUCGUACUUAGCUGUACAAAU
This 209-nucleotide unclassified non-coding RNA is filed under the name uncultured Kondoa. RNAcentral's name for it is "partial internal transcribed spacer 2". The record is from RNAcentral. Lineage: Eukaryota; Fungi; Basidiomycota; Agaricostilbomycetes.